Taeniopygia guttata (zebra finch) is the source of this 5177-nucleotide long non-coding RNA. NCBI's taxonomy places the organism in Eukaryota, Metazoa, Chordata, Aves, Passeriformes, Estrildidae. The record is from Ensembl.
UUUUUUUUUUUUUUUUUCAUUUUAGACUCUCAGGUAAAUGUUCCACUCCAUUAAUUACUGACUUGAAAUCUCUAGUUUCUCAUUGUUCAGUUUAAGAACAAACAGAGGGCCUAAACACAAAACAUGCACAUGUGUUACCUAUCUAAAAUCCAAUAUAAGCAAGAUAUUUGCCAGAUGUGUUUUCUAAGAUGCAAUGUGCUGAUUACAACGAAAAUCAAAAUAUAUAUUGUUAAAUUAAUCUAAGAUCUUAUACAAAUAAGUUAGAUGACUUAAAUGCUGUAACAAUUCCAGUGUUUCCAACCUCUUAAUAUUUACUAUGUGCAUAAAUGUAUAUAUGUCUGGUGUGUAUAUACCUAUACAUGCUGUUCUUUUUACUAGUUAUUUAGUGAGUCCAGAGAACUGUGCUGCUGUCAGGCUAACAGCUGUAAACAGAACUGAAAAUUUUGACCAAUCAAAGUACUUAGUAUGGUCCAAAGCAUGGGAAAAAAAUGGCAGGGACAGGUUUUGUGCCACUGACACAAUUCUGGUAUGACAUCAGUAAUUCCAUUUGAGUUAACCUUACAGUAGUUCCAAGGCCUGUGGCUGCUGAGCUCUAUAUUGAGUACUUUCCUUAGUUUUACAACCAAGAAUCGGCAGAACACUUGCUUGUUGAGAAUACAGGAAUCGAAAUUACCUGUGGGGAAUUUGGCAAGCUACUACUCCUCUAUUUACAUGUUUUCAGUUAAAUAAAAAAACUAAUACACCCAUGAACACUGGCUGAAGUUGAUGAUAAAACUCUCAUGUAAUUUUAAGGUAAUAUUUUCUAAGCCUCAAAAGCAGUGGAAUAUUCAUAUCUGAGAAGUACCAGAAUGUAAAAAUAAAAAAAAAUGAAGUGGAACUCUAGCUAUGCUUUUAUGGCAUUUAUCUGUGUUCCACACAUUUCCAGAAAGAAUUUAAUGUACUUGUGUAUCACUGAUCUCACCUGGAAAGUUAGAGCUUACAAUGUUUACAUAUGCUCUCACCAAUUACUACAACUCCUCAUGAUGUGGUAGAGUGGUGCCUAUAUAAAUGUGCAGGAAAUGUCAUGUAUUCCUUGCCCUCACUGAUGAGUUAUAUUUAUAUGUUUAUAUGUUUCUGGUUACUGUAGAGUUUGGCAGCCUACACAUUUUCCAGUAAAAAGCAGGAUCACAAUGUGAGAUGUUUCAUACAGUCAGAAAAGAAUGGGAGAACCUUUGUGCUGUCCUUCUCCUGCAAGAACUGCAAAUACAGGUGCAAGGAAGUUUAAUUCCUAGAGCAUCCUCACUGACUUUUGCUAAGCUUGAUAUAAAAAGAGGGCUUCCCACACAUUCAAUUUUAAGAAUUGAGUUUCAAACAUCAUAUUGAAUUAUUAUUAACUGCUACCGCAUCAUACUUACGAUUUUGCUUUCUUCUAGUAAUGUGCUACAAAAAAAGACGACACAUCUGCCAGGUGUCGGUUCAAUCUCUCAUUCUUCCCUAAGGUGAGAAAGAUGUAGCAGUGGGGUUCUUGUUUAAAGAGCUGGUGUUUAAUAAACACGUUAGGAAAGCUGAGGUUAGGGCUGGCACACGAUGCGUGACAAGCAGUGAGCAUUAGAGCAGUUCUCUCUUGCUCUCAGGUAAGCUCAUUGAGGUAUAAUGUCAGCUUAUCGAAAAGGCUGCCAAUUUGGUAGGAGAGCAUUGCUGAGGAUCACAGCCUUUUACCAGAGAUUUCUGAGCAGUGAAUUCAGACAAGGGAGUCUGCUGAAAGGCUGGUUCUGGAUUUGAAACUGUAUGGGAAGGCAGCAGAGGUAACAAAGGAUAUGUAAUAUACUUGUAAUUGACUGAGGAGGUGCUCUGCAGCAUUUUUCAUUGCCUAUCACUUCCCAUAUCUUGAGAACUUCAUGUUCAGUUUAUUAUCCUCUAUUUCAGUCAAGCAAUGAAAAGACCAUGCCAUUUGUUGGAAAGAUAUUUAGCAGCUUUAUAUCCAAUGGGAGACAACCGAAAGAAUUGUUUGUAGCCACUCGUUGCUAUCUGAGAAUUUAUUUAAAUUAUAUAUAAUAAAUAAAUUUAUUUAUUACAGCCUAUACUGACAGAGGCAGGUUUUCUGCAGAGGGCUGCAAGCUACGAUGUGUUAUACUCAGCAGAAGUACAUUAAUAACUGUGAAAACACUUCUGCUGGUUUUGUCAGUGCUAAUUGUCACUUCCUCUAUUUUGUUCUAUUUGCAAUGAUGAUAAACACAAGUAAGAGAGAGAAAAUGGUGUUUUCCAGCAGUUUUUUAUAAUGGCUAAACCUGAAUGACCUUUCUCCACACAACUGAGAGCCGUGGGGUAGCUGCUGUUGGGAAAUGGAGGCUUUCUACAAUGGCAUGUGGCAACUCCAUAAUACGCUAAGAAACUCAGCGAAGGCAACCUGCAUCAUGUUGUCCUGGUUUUGGCUGGGAUAGAGCUAGUUGCCUCCUUAGUAGCUGGUACAGUGCUGUGUUUUGGAGUUAGUAUGAGAACAAUGUUGAAAACAAACUGGUGUUUUGGAUGUUGCUAAGCAGUGCUUACCCCUGGUCAAGGACUUUUCAAUUUCUCACACUCUGCCAGCGAGGAGGUGCACAAGAAGCUGGAGGGAACAUGGCUGGGACAGCUGACCUGAAGUGGCCAAGGGGAUGUUCCACACCAUAGAACAUCAUAUUCAGCAUAUAAACUGAAGUGAAUUAUAUGGAUGAGUACAGUCACUAUUUGAGGACAGGUUGGGCAUUGGAUAGUGAGCAACUGUAUUCUGUAUCACCUGUUUAUUUGGUUUCUUCCCAAAUUUUAUUAUUAAUCUAAUGUAACAUCAGUAUUAAUUUUUAUAAUUAGCACUCUUCUAUUUUGUUUAAUUUAUUAAAUUACUGUUGUCUAAACCCAUGAGUUUGCAGGAUUUUUUCCUUUCCCUGAGUCUGCUACCCACCUCAUGGCAGAGCAAAGGCAGGGGGAAGUGAAUGAGCAGCUUUGUGGUACUUGCUUAGCAGCUGGGGAUAAACCUGACAAUGGAUCCUUACUUGGAAAAAACUUUGUCUUGGAUCAAACAAGAUAACAAUUGUGACCGUACUCCUGACAAUCUGGGCUGAGGACACUAAUAACUUACAUGAUCAUUCUUCCACAACUAGUUUCCUAAAAAUAAGUCCAAUAGGGGAUCCACUGGACUGCUGAAGACACACUUAAAGUUAUAAACCUGUCCCUGCAUGCAAAUUUUUUCCCCAGAUUUACAAAUAAAAGCAGCAAAAUGCUUCAGACACUGUCCAUACUGCUACAAUGAGCUGUAUUGUUAAGACUAUAAUUUUCAAUUUUUUAUUAACUAGAUGUGAACAUAAUAUUGUGUCUUGUUCAAGAUUUAGCACUUUAAUAGUGCUAAACUACUGCCUACUUGUUAAAUUAAAUCCUAAAGGAUCAGAAAGUAGUUAAAUUACCAUGAUUAAAAUUCUCAUCAGCAAGGACCAAACUCAACAGAUAUCUCAACAAUGACAUAAGCAUGAUUCACCACGUCAGGAUAUCCUUGAGCAUUUGAGGUUUUGAAAUAUUUACAACAAUGUUCUUUAGUGGAGUCAAAUAUAAGAAUACAAAAAUGGAAGUUGAUUCUGGGUUUUUGAUUGCUUAUUUUUACUGAAGAUGCAACAACUGUCCUUUUCAUGUUGCAUUUUCAAUUAUUUGACCCAUUUUGAAGCAUCUGGAUUUUGAGAAUUCAUGCUAUUGGUUCUGCCAAAAGAAAAUGUCCAUUCAUGGCUACUAGCAAGGAGGGAAGGAUAAGAAACUAUAAUCAUUGCUAAAGCACAUACUGCUAAGUAUCAGCAUCUAAAAUGUCCAUAUUAUGAAAGAAAAUAAAUCUAAAAAGAAACAUAAUGGUUUCCCCAGCUGUCUUUGCAGACCUGGGAAACAUGGAAUAUCAUCAAUGUAACUCUUUCUGGAUCUGACAGCAGUUAAAGACCGGUUAUAUACUGUGAGACUCAUGGCUAAAGAUUGCUACUGAGUAGAAAUCUCACUGAUUCAGGGGAUUUUUGCCUGGUACCCCACACAAAUUCUUCUCAUUGUAUCUAAUAUAGCAAUACAAAAUCAGAGUAAUAGCAUAAGAGUUUGUGGAAAUUACAAAGAGCUCUAUUAACAAGCCAGUUAUGAAGCCUCUGUGACUUGUGAUCUUAUAUACAACACCAUGCUUUGUUGAUAAUUUAUCAGCAAUAUUUUCAUGUGUGACAUCCCUACCUAGAUGGACCUGAAGGAUUAAAACCUGCUACUCAAUAGCAUUAUCUCUCACUCAAAAAAAAUAUGCAUAUGCAUACUCAGAACCAUUCCUCAGUGGAAUAAAAAACACAAAACCAAAAUGCAACUCCACCUCAACUCCCCAAACAAAACCCAGCUGUAAUUACAGUUGUAGCAGCUUGUUUGUAGUUGUUAUGGAGUGAAAUACACUGCUAAAGAGCAUCUCUUUCUCCAAUGACUAGUAAACUCUUCCUUUUGGAACCUCCCAUGCUAUUGAACAUUAUAAUGAACAUUGAUCAUUCAUUACCCAUAAAAAUCUAUUGUGACUAUGCUAUUCUGGCAUAUUCAGACAGACUCAACUCUUGAGAAUGACUCUCAAAGUUCCAACAGCAAUAUAGGUUUAUGUAGGCAUGGAGGGGAUGCCUGAUUAAGAAACCAUCUGAUGAGUUCAAACUAUUUUAACCCAUUAAUUGAAAAUGAAAUGCCUUUAGGGCAGGUUCUCCUGAAAGAGAAUAGCUUAUCACUUCAGCUGUGUGAAAUGCAGCAGACCCAGCUACCACACAAAACAGAGAUGUUAGCCAGAAGUUGUGUCCAGCAACUCAGAGCUACUGCAAAAACACAGCAAAUGAUAAAGACAGAAAAUCAGUUCUCAAGAUGCAAUGACUCACAUAAUUUUUCAGCAUGAAUUUUCUGUGACUCAGGAUUGCCAAGGAGCUCCGGUGACCGCACGGGCUCCCUGCACACCCCACACUCACACAGACAAGGUUUCCUUACCGGCUCACCCCUGCGUUUCCCACAGCAGAGACCCACAUGUCUGGAUCCUUACAAGAAUUUCAUCGCGGCACAGCAACAACAACUACCAGCCCGAGCUGGUGUCUGCCAAAAGGUUUCCCAAGGUUUUACCCUCACAGUCUGCGCACCCAAACAAUCUGAGGCCUUCGGCAGAGUCAUCAGCACCUGCUGUGUCUCUGAGUGUCCCC